RNAcentral lists this ribosomal RNA (327 nucleotides) under uncultured eukaryote. Its description in RNAcentral is "partial 18S ribosomal RNA". It matches the Rfam family "Eukaryotic small subunit ribosomal RNA", at positions 1470 to 1796 of the family's 1831-position model. The record is from RNAcentral.
CCCUUAGAUGUUCUGGGCCGCACGCGCGCUACACUGACGAAUGCAACGAGCUUAUAACCUUGGCCGGAAGGUCUGGGUAAUCUCCAAAUUUCGUCGUGAUGGGGAUAGAUUAUUGCAAUUAUUAAUCUUCAACGAGGAAUGCCUAGUAAGCGCAAGUCAUCAGCUUGCGUUGAUUACGUCCCUGCCCUUUGUACACACCGCCCGUCGCUCCUACCGAUUGAAUGGUCCGGUGAAGCGUUCGGACCGUGGCCUUUGGACGGUUCGCCGUCUGUUGGCUGCGGGAAGUUCGUUAAACCUUAUCAUUUAGAGGAAGGAGAANUCGUANCA